GUUGGCUUGGCGCAGUGGUAAGCGUACUCGGUUUGGGUCCGAGAGAUCACGACUCCGAGAGGUCGCGAGUUCGAACCUCGCAGCUGACC
This 89-nucleotide transfer RNA is filed under the name Eutypa lata. RNAcentral describes it as "tRNA-Pro". It matches the Rfam family "tRNA". From Rfam's summary of the family: Transfer RNA (tRNA) molecules are approximately 80 nucleotides in length. Their secondary structure includes four short double-helical elements and three loops (D, anti-codon, and T loops). Further hydrogen bonds mediate the characteristic L-shaped molecular structure. tRNAs have two regions of fundamental functional importance: the anti-codon, which is responsible for specific mRNA codon recognition, and the 3' end, to which the tRNAs corresponding amino acid is attached (by aminoacyl-tRNA synthetases). tRNAs cope with the degeneracy of the genetic code in two manners: having more than one tRNA (with a specific anti-codon) for a particular amino acid; and 'wobble' base-pairing, i.e. permitting non-standard base-pairing at the 3rd anti-codon position. Lineage: Eukaryota; Fungi; Ascomycota; Sordariomycetes; Xylariales; Diatrypaceae. RNAcentral also lists the same sequence under 1 other name. The record is from RNAcentral.